GAUGAACGCUGGCGGCGUGCCUAAUACAUGCAAGUAGAACGCUGAAGGAAGGAGCUUGCUCUUUCCGGAUGAGUUGCGAACGGGUGAGUAACGCGUAGGUAACCUGCCUGGUAGCGGGGGAUAACUAUUGGAAACGAUAGCUAAUACCGCAUAACAGUAGAUGUUGCAUGACAACUAUUUGAAAGGGGCAAUUGCUCCACUACCAGAUGGACCUGCGCUGUAUUAGCUAGUUGGUGAGGUAACGGCUCACCAAGGCGACGAUACAUAGCCGACCUGAGAGGGGGAUCGGCCACACUGGGACUGAGACAAGGCCCAGACUCCUACGGGAGGCAGCAGUAGGGAAUCUUCGGCAAUGGACGGAAGUCUGACCGAGCAACGCCGCGCGAGUGAAGAAGGUUUUCGGAUCGUAAAGCUCUGUUGUAAGAGAAGAAAGAGUGUGAGAGUGGAAAGUUCACACUGUGACGGUAUCUGACCAGAAAGGGACGGCUAACUACGUG
RNAcentral lists this ribosomal RNA (497 nucleotides) under uncultured bacterium. Its description in RNAcentral is "partial 16S ribosomal RNA". It matches the Rfam family "Bacterial small subunit ribosomal RNA", at positions 28 to 507 of the family's 1533-position model. The record is from RNAcentral.